Long non-coding RNA from Pararge aegeria (speckled wood butterfly), 351 nucleotides. RefSeq lists it as uncharacterized. The record is from RefSeq and is a predicted model, not a curated record. Lineage: Eukaryota; Metazoa; Arthropoda; Insecta; Lepidoptera; Nymphalidae. The transcript is spliced from 3 exons.
GAAACUGCCUCCACUAUUUAAAUCGAUAUCAAACUACCCGCAAUAUGUUUAAGCCAUUAGUGUGGAUGUGACGUGAGGUUGAAACUUCCCCGCUAAUGGAGCAAGGUGCCAAGUUUUAUUUCCAGCACCGAUCUUAACUUCAGGUGGAUAACACCGUCUCGUGAACCACGUAUGGCUCACAAAACGUGAUCUUGGGACGUCUCAAUAUUCUGGUUCACGAGAAGCCGCAGAACUAAUACAACUUUUAUAAACCUUGCCAUAAAGUUGUCAAGACACCAGGAAACAUAAAAAUUUCAAGAGUUUGCUCUAGCUUCAAUUGCCGAAGAAGGAGUUACUAUGCCGACAUGGACA